This 74-nucleotide transfer RNA is filed under the name bacterium. RNAcentral's name for it is "tRNA-OTHER". It matches the Rfam family "tRNA". Rfam says of the family: Transfer RNA (tRNA) molecules are approximately 80 nucleotides in length. The record is from RNAcentral. RNAcentral also lists the same sequence under 1 other name.
GGGCCCGUAGUGUUUAACGGUUAGCACGCCUUCCUUCUAAGAUCGAAGUGCCAGUUCAACUCUGGUCGGGUCCA